AAAGGAGGGAAAGGUAAUGGAGGCAGUGGAGGAAAUUGGGGCAGAGGAUAUGGCCAAGGGAAAGGUGGGAAGUAAGGGAGAAAGCAUUUUGAGGAAUUGAAGGAACUUAGCAACUCUUCUUCAUUGUGAUUUCCACACAAGGCUGGAGUUGAGCUGCUUAUCAAACUUGCUUGGCAAACAGAUUCAAUUGCUGAACCAUCUACACAAUCAACCCCAUCAACAUGUGGUACUUCUAGCUUGUAUGUUCCAUAUCUAUCUGUCGUCCUGUUAACGGAGAUGUUUAUUUGCUCUGCUGUUUUUGGUGCAUUGGCUUUGAAUGUGCAUUGUAUUUGAACAUCCACACCUGAAAUCAAUAGCCAUUUACAAGUUAAAGAUAUUAAAAAAGAAUAAACACUUAUACACAACAAUUCAACCCUUAUUGCUCCCUUCUUUGUUAAUAAAACAGAAUGAAGAGAUAUUGCAAAUGAGUUGUUCUUUACCUGGCAAGAAGUAGCUGUGUCUAGAGAAACUGUUGGUUGAACAAGUAUCACAGUAAACAACACCAACAACACUAAUGCUAGAUGAUAUGUGAUUUGCAUGUUUAGCUAGGAGGGAAAAUGGAUGAGCAAGAAAAGUUGCAAGAAGAAAAAGAAAAAUGAUUGGAGCCAUGGCAGCAAACAUAGGAGAAGUAGAAAGAAGCUUCUAUAAAAGCAUCAUCUACACUAUAGUUAUGGCUAGUAGUCUAUUACAAAAUGCAUAUCAAAGCUAGAUUUUAUUAUUCUAAUAAUUCUUGAAAUAUGCAAAUAAUGAACCCGUGAGUAGUUGGUGUUAGGACCAACUGUAAUCAGAGUGCAGGAAAAAAAAUUCUUUAUCAAUUCACUACAAACAAAGACAUGUGAAGAACCCUUUUGGAUGGUUGUGAAGAGCAAAUAGCUUGAAAACUCUGUAGUAGAUUGACAGAUAGUGGGGAAUUGGGGAUAUCAGGCUCUACAGUUUUCUUAUUUUUAAGGUCCACGAAAUGAAAAUGACAACUUUGCUCCAAGGGAAAGAUUGAAUUUUUUUUCUUUCUUUGGCUGCCUUUUUGGCUUGCUUUAUGACUCACCAUUGUCAUUAUUGUCUCUUGUUCCUUUUGCGUAUAUAUGGCUACAAAUUCAUGGCAACUAAAUGACAGUCACAAGGCUAUUUCUUUUUCCCUUUAUCAUGCGCUCUUCCUUUAACCAACAUAUUUUGUUCUUUUUACAUCCUGCAGUCAAAACCCAACUUUUGUUGUAAAUUUACUUGGCAUAUGUUAAUAAUUGGGAAGUUUCAGGAAUUGUGAGACAGGGGUAGACUUGGAGAGAAAGAGGUCCUCUUGUGGUGUUAGAAACACUUGUACUUUGUGUACCACUUGAGCAAUUAGGAACAUGUAUCUUUUUUGUACCCGAAGAAGUUCUGGACUAGUUGCUACUUCAAGAUGAAAAUUACAAUCAAAAGCACCAUGUGAAGGAUAAUUUUCUGCAGUAUAUGUAGAAUUUAUGUCGCACAUUGUGAGUGAUGUUAAUAAGGAUCUAUCAUCUGAAAGGGGACCCAUUUAGAUA
Ricinus communis (castor bean) is the source of this 1556-nucleotide long non-coding RNA. RefSeq lists it as uncharacterized. The record is from RefSeq and is a predicted model, not a curated record. The transcript has 2 exons. Lineage: Eukaryota; Viridiplantae; Streptophyta; Magnoliopsida; Malpighiales; Euphorbiaceae.